GACGAACGCUGGCGGCGUGCUUAACACAUGCAAGUCGAACGGAAAGGCCCUGCUUUUGUGGGGUGCUCGAGUGGCGAACGGGUGAGUAACACGUGAGUAACCUGCCCUUGACUUUGGGAUAACUUCAGGAAACUGGGGCUAAUACCGGAUAGGAGCUCCUGCUGCAUGGUGGGGGUUGGAAAGUUUCGGCUGUUGGGGAUGGACUCGCGGCUUAUCAGCUUGUUGGUGGGGUAGUGGCUUACCAAGGCUUUGACGGGUAGCCGGCCUGAGAGGGUGACCGGGCACAUGGGGACUGAGAUACGGCCCAGACGCCUACGGGAGGCAGCAGUGGGGAAUAUUGCACAAUGGGCGGAAGCCUGAGGCAGCAACGCCGCGUGCGGGAUGAAGGCCUUCGGGUUGUAAACCGCUUUCGCCUGUGACGAAGCGGGAGUGACGGUAAUGGGUAAAGAAGCACCGGCUAACUACGUG
Molecule: ribosomal RNA, 468 nt
Filed under: uncultured bacterium
Lineage: Bacteria
Description: partial 16S ribosomal RNA
Rfam family: Bacterial small subunit ribosomal RNA
Source: RNAcentral